GAUUAAGACCAAUGACUGUUGUAAUGAAGGACCCUGUUUCGAUUCUAUCACGGGAUACAAUAUGGAAUGUCAAUACAUUAGAACGGUUGAUUUGCAGAGAAAGGUGAACUUAAAACAUUACUUUUUAAACAUCACCAAAGGUAUGUGAAUAUCAACAGUAAUAAUAAACAAUGACAUGUAUACAAAACGAUGAAAUAACUGGAAUUUACAGGACUACAAUGGUAA
Molecule: long non-coding RNA, 225 nt
Filed under: Mytilus galloprovincialis (Mediterranean mussel)
Lineage: Eukaryota; Metazoa; Mollusca; Bivalvia; Mytilida; Mytilidae
Source: RNAcentral